Molecule: unclassified non-coding RNA, 206 nt
Filed under: plant metagenome
Description: partial contains small subunit ribosomal RNA, internal transcribed spacer 1, and 5.8S ribosomal RNA
Source: RNAcentral
UUUCCGUAGGUGAACCUGCGGAAGGAUCAUUCAUAAUAAGUGUUUUACUGCACUUUUUAAAAAUAGUACUCACCUUGUGGGCAAUGUUGUGUUUCUUUUCGGAGAAACACCUACACCAACCUAUAACCUUGAACCACUUUGUCUGAAAAACUAUUAUGAAUACUUAAUUCAAAAUACAACUUUCAACAACGGAUCUCUUGGCUCUC